GAUGGGAGGAGGCGAGUGGAGGGCGCAGCAGCAGGAGUCCUGUGCUCUGGGAGGAAGGCUUUGUACAUGGGAGCUGUUGGCAUCACAUCUGUCAGGCCAGUGCCCAGAACUGGGGCAAUGGAGACGGGGGGUUCCAGGAAGCAGGGAGAAGGGGCAGGAAUGUGUUUCUGACGUUGCUAUCCCUCUAGAAGCUCAGCUCUGAAAAAUGGUUGGAGUAUGAGGUGAUUAGUGCUCUUCCAGCUUGAGAAAGUAAAGUGGUGGAGACAGUAGCCAGGGAAGUGCCAAGAAACAGUCUACGAGCCAGGGAGGAGAGAGUGUGCCACCGUACCCAGGGAGAACUUGUUGGGGCUGGCAAUCUGGCUCUUUGUCAGAGUAUUGAAGGAGACAGCAAGGGGACCAGAUGUGAGGUGGGUGGGUACUGGCACUGCCCAUGGCACCUGGCACAGGCUCUGGCAUUGUGUGGAACAGGGGAGGGCGACAGUGCCUCUUGCCAAUCUGGUUGAGAGGGCAAUGGUGCCAGGAGUGAGAAGGAAGGAGGUGAAACAUUUCGGGAGGUGGGGUGUUUGGGAGACCAGACUUUUUUCCUGCCAGGUCCUCCUUCCCCUUCCCUCUUAGGCAUGGGGAGUGGAGCAACAGACGGAGAGUGGCAUGAGGAUACAAAGGAGGAAGCACACCAUUGCCAAGACCCCAAGGAAGAAGGAUGGAAAGCGCUGGCAGUCCUGCCUGGCCCCCAGCCAGUUCCCUGCUGAAGAUGGUCAAAUCCCCUUGCCUGGUCUGUAUAUGCCACUUUUGCUGGGGUGGAAGGAGGGAAGGGCUGACUUGCUGAGCUGGGCUCUAGAAUGGGAAGAGUACCUUUCUGCAGAUGCCAUUUGGACUCUCCACUUGAACAAGUGAGGUGUCUAUUUUCCUCUUCGGUACCUUCCUCUCCUCCCCCUCCCUUCGCCUCAUCCCCAUUUCAUCUUUCAUCACCACCUGGGUCCUACUGCUUGGCACCCAACCAACUGGAUGCCACCACGUUUGGCAGUGCUGCACCGGCACGUGAACAGUGUCUCAGAUCCUGGCACUGCGGCAAACCCAAAGCCACCAAACGUGCUCAUGAUGGCACUUGGUGGCAGUCAGGGAGACGGGGCUCUGCACAUAGCGGUGCCAGGCAUUGGGUGGAGCUCUGUGCAGGGAACUGGCAUGAGAGGAUGCCCUUAACAACUGGGCUGAGUCAGCACUCCCUCGUCAAUCCCAGCUCUGCCUUCCUCCCAACUAGAUAUCCACCUCCCUCCUACCCUUACUGCCCCCAAGAAAGGGAUUUAGAUGGUAUCAUACUGAAUGUUUGAGCACCAUGCGAAAGGAAACGAGCAUAGAGGGACAGGCUAUAGCACAGGCUGUAGACACACCCAAGGCUCCAGGCCAGUGGACCAUACAUAUCCUUGGACAACAAGAACAGAAAAAUAAAACCCUAGGAGGGCAAAAGGAGGUGGAGAGAGGGACACCAGCUGUGUUGUUACCAGGAUGGCACAAGAAGAGAUUGGAAGGCAAGUAGGAAGGAGUGACCCUCAGACUUUGCUCUUGGGUGAUGGGGUGGUUUGUACCUAUGCAUAUUUCAUUCUGCCUUGUACCUUGUGAUUUGCUGAGCUGUGGUUGAGAUGAACUGGUUCUUUCUCCCUUGUUAAAAGGUCCAUAUUCAAUAAUAGUCCUAGGAAGAUGGAAAGGUGCUCUAGGCCUAGAGAGAUAGACAGGUGUUAGGAAGACAAAGGGACUUGUCCUUCCAGAAAGACUAUACAAGGCACCCAGUUAGAGUUGGAUAGAUUUCCAUAUCUUUGAAAUCCACCCCAAGAAGGGAGACAGGAUCAGCAAUGAUCCCUGGUAGAGGGGGAGGCCCCUAGGAGGAGAAUCCCCAGCAACUGUGGUGAUACAGACUAGCCCUCACAAAACUAGACUUUGGGCCCCCAAUCUGAAAGAAUUUCUAGUAGCUUUGGCUUUCCUAAUGACUGGGCAGAUCUUCAGAUCUGGAAGAUUUGACUAUAGGUGAUGUGGAGGGGAGGCUGGGUGGCUCUGGGAGAUAAGACCUGCCCAGAGGUAGGAGUAAAGUCCAUGCUGGGCUGAGCUGCUCAGGGCUGGGGAAGUUCUGAUUUCAGCAUCUCUGGAAGUGUAUGGCCGCUUCAGAAGAAGCAAGGUGUUUUCCACAGCAGAGGAGAAAGCAGGGAGACACUCAGCCAAAGUGGGAUGAAUGACUGUCUUAGAUCAUGGUGGUGGAGAUUUGGAGAAUCAGUGAUCUGGUCUAUAAGCCCUGAAAGUGGUUAAGAAACAAGUACAAAGAAUGAAGCAGAUGGGUGCUAUUAUGCCUGGAAUAAAAGGCUUGCUUGGUUCUUAAGCAUGCUUCUGAUUCUGCAAAGGAUUGUGCUGACUCAGCCUUCUGUCCACCAGAAUGCCCACUGUGUAUUGCUCUCUGGAGCAGGAGUGCUGCCGCUAAGGACUUCUGCUCUGAGAAAGGGGCUGGGGAGGAAAGCUUCCAGCCCCUGGGAACAUGGAAUGGUGCCCCCUCAGGAAGCAUGUUAAUUGACCUAAGUCAGCAGAGUCAGCCAGGCUCUUUUGCCCCCCAAAUUCCAGGGUUCCAGAUGGGGCAUCCAAGAAACAGAGAGGUUAAGUGAGCUACUGAGGGUCACACAGCUCCAAGAUGGUGAAACUAGAAAUGGACUGAUGCGGCACUGAGUAAACCCCAAAGUUGUGGUCUAGACUUCUCUACCCAGCUAGACUGUUGGACACAAUACAGGCAAAAUGAGACUCCAAAAGACUAGAAAUGAGGAUUCCAGGCUGGGCAUGGUGGCUCACAUCUGUAAUCCCAGCACUUUGGAAGGCCGAGGCAGGCAGAUCACCUGAGGUCAG
Molecule: long non-coding RNA, 2877 nt
Organism: Rhinopithecus roxellana (golden snub-nosed monkey)
Lineage: Eukaryota; Metazoa; Chordata; Mammalia; Primates; Cercopithecidae
Exons: 4
Source: RefSeq, a predicted model, not a curated record